GGCCUUUCUCUCUUGGGGCUGUGGAGGGUCCGUAUCUCCUCAGCCAAGGAUGGAGGCCAACAGACCCUGAGGAUCACUGUGAGGACUGCCAUGAGCGGGCAGCCUUGUUUUCCUGCCUUAGACAAUU
This is a small nucleolar RNA of Otolemur garnettii (small-eared galago), 127 nucleotides long. Lineage: Eukaryota; Metazoa; Chordata; Mammalia; Primates; Galagidae. The record is from Ensembl.